RNAcentral lists this unclassified non-coding RNA (209 nucleotides) under uncultured fungus. Its description in RNAcentral is "partial contains 5.8S ribosomal RNA, internal transcribed spacer 2, and large subunit ribosomal RNA". The record is from RNAcentral. Lineage: Eukaryota; Fungi.
AACGCACAUUGCACUCCUUGGUAUUCCGAGGAGUACGCCUGUUCGAGCGUCAUUACACUCUCAAGCGCUGCUUGGAUUUGAAUCACUGUCGCGGCAGGAUUCCAAUAGUGUCGGCAAUUGACCAUCUGUGAUGACUCACUCCGAGUUGAUUCGCCUACUCACCUUUUCAAGUUGACCUCGGAUCAGGCGGGGAUACCCGCUGAACUUAA